Molecule: ribosomal RNA, 637 nt
Filed under: uncultured Actinomycetales bacterium
Lineage: Bacteria; Bacillati; Actinomycetota; Actinomycetes; Actinomycetales
Description: bacterial SSU rRNA
Rfam family: Bacterial small subunit ribosomal RNA
Source: RNAcentral
GGGUACUCGAGUGGCGAACGGGUGAGUAACACGUGGGUGAUCUGCCCUGCACUUCGGGAUAAGCCUGGGAAACUGGGUCUAAUACCGGAUAGGAGCCAUUUUUAGUGUGAUGGUUGGAAAGUUUUUUCGGUGUAGGAUGAGCUCGCGGCCUAUCAGCUUGUUGGUGGGGUAAUGGCCUACCAAGGCGGCGACGGGUAGCCGGCCUGAGAGGGUGGACGGCCACAUUGGGACUGAGAUACGGCCCAGACUCCUACGGGAGGCAGCAGUGGGGAAUAUUGCACAAUGGGCGCAAGCCUGAUGCAGCGACGCCGCGUGGGGGAUGACGGCCUUCGGGUUGUAAACUCCUUUCGCUAGGGACGAAGCUUUUUGUGACGGUACCUAGAUAAGAAGCACCGGCUAACUACGUGCCAGCAGCCGCGGUAAUACGUAGGGUGCGAGCGUUGUCCGGAAUUACUGGGCGUAAAGGGCUCGUAGGUGGUUUGUCGCGUCGUCUGUGAAAUUCCGGGGCUUAACUCCGGGCGUGCAGGCGAUACGGGCAUAACUUGAGUACUGUAGGGGUAACUGGAAUUCCUGGUGUAGCGGUGAAAUGCGCAGAUAUCAGGAGGAACACCGAUGGCGAAGGCAGGUUACUGGGCAG